This is a long non-coding RNA of Passer domesticus (house sparrow), 424 nucleotides long. RefSeq lists it as uncharacterized. The transcript has 3 exons. The record is from RefSeq and is a predicted model, not a curated record. NCBI's taxonomy places the organism in Eukaryota, Metazoa, Chordata, Aves, Passeriformes, Passeridae.
GCCUGACAGUUUGCUCUGAACAGAUUGCCCCAGAGAUGGACACAGGAGCACAGACUGCUGCAUGGGAUGUGUAUUCCUGUUUUCUGUGGAGUACUGAGUCAGAUGUCUAAUUAGGGCAAAUCAUCACUGAACUGCUGAUAGCCAGUGCCAGUGGGCUACAGGAGGGAACCAUUGCUGGCCAAGGCCAAGAGCAUCGGAGAUGGCAGGAACACAUCUGGGAUAGCUUAUUUAAGAAGGAGAAAACAGUUACUGUGAGAAUAUGUGAGAGGAGCAACUCCGCAUACACCAAGGUCAGUGGAGAAGGAGGGGGAGGAGGUUGCCUGGGUGCUGGUGCUGAAAUUCCCCUGCAACCUGUGGGGAAGACCAUGGAAAAGCAGACUGGUCCUGAUGGACUGCACCCUGUGGAAAGGAACCCAGGCUGGAA